This 274-nucleotide ribosomal RNA is filed under the name uncultured bacterium. RNAcentral's name for it is "partial 16S ribosomal RNA". It matches the Rfam family "Bacterial small subunit ribosomal RNA", at positions 523 to 796 of the family's 1533-position model. The record is from RNAcentral.
AUACGGAGGGUGCAAGCGUUGUGCGGAAUCACUGGGCGUAAAGGGCGCGCAGGCGGUUUGGUAAGUCAGAUGUGAAAGCCCACGGCUCAACCGUGGAAGUGCAUUUGAAACUGCCAGACUUGAGUACCAGAGGGGAAAGUGGAAUUCCCGGUGUAGAGGUGAAAUUCGUAGAUAUCGGGAGGAAUACCGGUGGCGAAGGCGACUUUCUGGCUGGAUACUGACGCUGAGGCGCGAGAGCGUGGGGAGCAAACAGGAUUAGAUACCCUAGUAGUCC